GUUGGUGCUACUGCGCGGGGCCCUCUUUUCUGCGAAAUACAUUUCGCGGGUGUCACUGUGAAGAAAUUGGGGAUGCUCAAAGUACGCAGACGCGCUGUACACGUUAGCAUGGAAUGACAGACGACACCGGGGUCCUGGAGGUCGGUUUGGGGACCGAGUGAUGGUUGAUAGGGACACUCGAGGGCACUGGUAUUCGGCAGUCAGAGGUGAAAUUUCUUGGAUUUGCCGAGGACCGACGGGGGCGAAAGGCGUCUGCCACGAAUGUUUUCGUUGAUCACGAACGAAAGUCAGGGGAUCGAAGACGAUUAGAGACCGUGGUAGUCUUGACCGUAAACGAUGCCGGCUGAGAGCGGGGGGCGAUCGGAGACGAUGCCCCCCCGGGCUCUGGGAGAAAUCACAGCGUUUGGGUUCUGGGGGGAGUAUGGUCGCAAGGCUGAAACUUGAAGGAAUUGACGGAAGGGCACCACCAGGAGUGGAGCGCGCGGCUUAAUUUGACUCAACACGGGGAAACUCACCAGGUCCGGACACGGGAAGGAUUGACAGAUUGAGAGCUCUUUCGAGAUUGCGUGGGUGGUGGUGCAUGGCCGUUCUUGGUUGGUGGAGUGAUUUGUCUGGUUAAUUCCGAUAACGAGCGAGACCUCUGUGUGCAGUUGCGGGCAUUGGCUUUGGUUGGUGCUGGGUCUGCACGGACUGGCCC
Molecule: ribosomal RNA, 697 nt
Filed under: uncultured eukaryote
Lineage: Eukaryota
Description: bacterial SSU rRNA
Rfam family: Eukaryotic small subunit ribosomal RNA
Source: RNAcentral